GGCUCUGUUUGCAAUCUCCUUGUCUUUUAUUGUCUCUCCUCCUCUCCCAAGUAGCUGAAAAGCAUCCAGGAGUUGCUGUGUGCGAGGCUCUGCCCUUUAUUGCCUCCCAUCCUCUGGCCAGCCGAUGCUGCCCAGCCUGCCCACCCUUCCGGCUGCCAGUACUUUACACCAUGGGCUCAGCUCUGCCAGGGUGUCUGUGGAAGAGCGAAUGUCCUCCUGCACAAGCUGGUGAGCCUGGAGCUCAGCUCUUGCCGUCUGAGGUGGAGACGGGGUUUCGAGCGUCCCCAAGGACAGCAGACACGCAAUCCAGUCCUGGGGGAGCGGCACUGGCAACGGAUGACGGGUGAUGCGUGCCAGACUCCCGGUGAGCACGCCGAAUGCCGUGGCCAGCACGCCACCCGGUAAGAGCGGAGCGCUGCCUGCCAUGGAAGAGUGACUAAAGGGUGGGUGGAAAAGAACGGCUCGGGACCAAUUUAGCAGCUGCAGUGCCAAGAGGAGGGGCUCGCCCGGAGAGCAGGAAGGGACGGGCACAGCUGGGGCUCCGAGGGCGAGGAGUGACACGGCUGCGAGCGCGCGUACCGCGGAGACGGGGCUGGAGGCCGAGCAGGGAGCUGAGAGCAUCCCACAUAGUGUGCAAUUGUGUUUCUGAGUGCACUUUCGCAGCUGCCAU
Rhea pennata is the source of this 670-nucleotide long non-coding RNA. RefSeq lists it as uncharacterized. NCBI's taxonomy places the organism in Eukaryota, Metazoa, Chordata, Aves, Rheiformes, Rheidae. The transcript is spliced from 3 exons. The record is from RefSeq and is a predicted model, not a curated record.